AUGCCACGCGUCGGGCGUGACGGCGCAGCAGCGGGCCGACCUCUUUGUCGGUGGACUUCCGGAUCACAUCCGCGUGGACGUGGAGCUUCAGGGACCCCAGGAUAUCCAGACGGCCAUGUACUACGCCCGCGCGUUCGAGCGCCGCGCGGUGGCCGUCCAGCAGGAGUCACCGUCCCGGGCCACUGGGUCGCUACCCUGGCCAGAUCCCGCUCCGUGUCGGCCUGUUCAGGCUUCCGCNNNNNNNNNNCAGCCGCGCCGCCCGCGCCGGUCCAGCUCCCACCGCCGCCGCCCAGCUCCGGACUGGGCCAGUCCACACCGGGAGACCUCCCGAUCCAGCAGGUCCGGUUUCCGCCGUCACCGUCCCAGAUCCCGGCCUGGCUAACCGGGACGUCGCCACCGCCAGUUUACACGGAGGCCGGGAACCCACCGGUACCCACGCUGCAGUCUGGGGCCUCGUCCGGCUCCGCGGGGGCCUAUGACGGUCUCCCCACCGUUGACCGGGCGCCGUCAUCAUCACUGCUCCGCACCGCCGAGCCGGUCGGCCAUGGCGCGCCGACCCAGACGCCGCCACGGUUCGCCAAGAUCAACUUCGCCACUUAUGACGGCACGGAGGACCCGCUUAACUGGCUCAACCAGUGUGAGCAGUUUUUCCGUGGACAGCGCACGCUCGCGUCGGAGCGCACUUGGCUGGCAUCCUACCACCUCCGCGGUGCAGCCCAGACCUGGUACUACGCCCUCGAGCAGGACAAGGGCAGCAUGCCCCCUUGGGAGCGCUUCCGCGAGCUCUGCCUCCUUUGUUUUGGGCCCCCGAUCCGCGGGAGCCGCCUGGCGGAGCUAGGCCGCCUUCCCUUCACCUCCACGGUUCAGGACUUCGCCGACCGUUUCCAGGCCCUGGCAUGCCACGGUCGGGCGUGA
RNAcentral lists this ribosomal RNA (915 nucleotides) under Triticum aestivum (bread wheat). RNAcentral's name for it is "partial small subunit ribosomal RNA". The record is from RNAcentral. Lineage: Eukaryota; Viridiplantae; Streptophyta; Magnoliopsida; Poales; Poaceae.